AGAACACUUACAGCACUUGCUCUUGGCUCGAUUUGGCGGAAUGAUACAAAUCACACACAUGCGUCAGACAUUGAUCUCCUGUAGUAUAACUGCGCAUAAACUAGAUCCCUACAUCACAGCCGCUCCAUCACUGGAAAGAAAAGAGCUUAAACGUCUCGUCCUCCUGUCCUGUGCAAGAGUGUUGUUAUAAGGUGUGGUGCAUGGUAAAGAAGACAAGAGUCCAGCUGUGUCUCAGUACUGUGUAUUCAGGCUGCAUGUAGGAAAUACAACUGAGGUAAACAGACGUGACGCAGGCAUAUAUUAUAGAUUGACAGACAGCCACCAAGCCACCUGCUACCACCCCUCCUCCGUUGGCGAUGGCUGAAGCUGACAUCAUGCUUGAAGCAAUGGAUCCUGCUGCUAUCCCAGCUGAGGUGAAGCCCAAUGCUCCCAGAAGCACUGGAGUCGCAACCACUGCAACACCUGGACCAAAGUGAACCACAUUAUUGAAAAAAACACACAAAUAUGUGUGCAUGUCGACAAAAGGCUGUCAGUCAUGAGGUAUUUGUGUUUACACCAUCAUCUUACCUGCACCUACAACAACGGCAGCAGCCGUCUCUGAAAUGCAAAACACCCCACACUUAUUAGAUAUCAUCUAUUAUAUAAUAUUGUAAUUUUAUAUCACUUUUCAUGAUGAUAAAAGUAUAAAGAAGGAUACCCACUCAAUGCCAUGUUGUUGACUAUUUGCCGUACACUUCCAGUCUGCAGGGAGUUUAUAUAUAUACUAGAUGUGAGAGGGCGGUUGUGGAAAACCAAACCUAACAAAAAAAAGGUUGUCCUUUCAUUCGUUCAACAGACGGAUGAAAGUUUUGUUUCUGGUGAAAUCAUUCAAAACAUAAAGAUGGGUGUUCAUGGGAACUAAAGUGGAUCCUAUCAUUAAAUUAGGGUGCGUCAUUUUAAAGGUUAGGAAUGUAGAUUGACUGGUAAAUUCACCACAACGUUUCGGUAACGCAUUUCUCCAUUCAUGUCCGCGGUAAACACGUUCAAGUACCAACAGCGGUACCACAGUUUACGAGUUUUUACCGGAUGCAAACUGUUUCUAUAGUAAGUGUAACGCUAAAGUUUGCAAGCAAAAAAUUGUGUUUUCACUAACUCAGUAAAAAACUAAACAGACCAUUUAAAAAAAAAGUAAACUUUAGUGAAUUAUGACUGUCAGAAUGUACAUAAAAUAUAGAACGUGGGAUUUACAAUAUGAACUAUGAACUAUAAAACACUGAAUAUUGAGAAUAUAUAAACGUUGCUCCUGUACUUUCCAGACCACUUCCUUGAUCGACAUAUUUAUAUCGAGCAAGAAAGAACAACAAAGAUGCAACAAACGCGGCGAAACAUAAACUCCAAGGGUUAAAAAAAACAUCCACAUACUCGAUAUAAUAUCACUGUUCUGCAGAACUUUGCUGUAGAAGUCUGCCUCCGUCUGACGCUCGCUAUCAGGCUUUUUGCUCGGUAAACAAGCCCCGCUCACUCUUCCCCAUUCUCUUCUGGUCUGCAUGAAGCAGAGCUUUAUAUGUCACUCAAAAGUGCAGAUUCUAACCAGUGGGAUCAUUUCUAUAGCUUGAAAAUAUCCAGCUGGCCACAUAGAAAUGUAAAUAAUGUUGUAUUAUGCCAAGGUAGCCCAGUUAACUGCUUUUGUUAUGAUGUCUUGCAAGAUCCGUGCCACAACUUCAAACUUGACACCUUAUUGGCUGGUUCUGAGACAAGAUUGAUUGCUUCAGUCGGAGUCUGACUUCUUCAGGAAGUUGGCCCGCGUGUGCACAGAUUCUUUUGAUUCAGAAGAAUGACGAGAGGAGCGCUCCUAAAGUACCUCCUACACCAGCCACAACUCCAGAGGCAGCGCCCAGACCAGCUGCACCUACAUUGAGAUGAAAAACACUCCAUUUAGUUACUUUAUGUUCUUUGUAUUUUAUUUACUUAGAAAAUACACUACAUGGGCACAUCACUGCAAAGUGGCUAUUCAGAUACAAGAGAAGUCAUUUCUACCAUUAAAACAUGCAAAAUAAAGUUUUGAUAAGUUUCUAUUUGUACUGCAAUGAAUCCAAUAACUUGUAUUCUAAACUAUUAUGUUUAUAAAAGACACAUACACGCCACUC
Entelurus aequoreus (snake pipefish) is the source of this 2126-nucleotide long non-coding RNA. RefSeq lists it as uncharacterized. NCBI's taxonomy places the organism in Eukaryota, Metazoa, Chordata, Actinopteri, Syngnathiformes, Syngnathidae. The transcript has 4 exons. The record is from RefSeq and is a predicted model, not a curated record.